Molecule: long non-coding RNA, 383 nt
Organism: Alligator sinensis (Chinese alligator)
Lineage: Eukaryota; Metazoa; Chordata; Crocodylia; Alligatoridae
Exons: 3
Source: RefSeq, a predicted model, not a curated record
AGUAGCCAAGGGGGAGGGCGCUCUCCUAGAGGAAGUUAAGUGAAGAGGCUUGGCUGCCCAUUUGGCUUCUGUUAGAACUUGAGAGAGGUGCCGGACUAACACUUCUGGGUGAACAGAGUUCUUCCCGUGGGCUUCUGAAAAUCAGUCUUCCACUUCAUUCAGAUGUCCAAAUGCACAGCAACACGCUCAAGAAAGCUACGUUUCCUUCUGUCAGUGACUUAGGCCCCUGUCCUGAACAUCCCUCAGUGCAGGAAGUAUCCUGUGCCCACAUGGAGACUACUCGCCUCUGUGUAGCUGCAGCAGUUUCCACCUCCAAAUCUGCAAAUUCUACAGAUAUUUAACAGCAGUUUCCCCAUCAGAUUGAGACAAUUACUGAAGUAAUC